UACAGAGGUAGCAAGCGUUGUUCGGAAUGACUGGGUGUAAAGCGCAUGUAGGCGGUUUUAUAAGUUGAAUGUGAAAUCCCUUGGCUCAACCAAGGAACGGCAUUCAAUACUGUAAAACUUGAGUGCAGAAGAGGAAAGUGGAAUUUCUGGUGUAGCGGUGAAAUGCGUAGAUAUCAGAAGGAACAUCGGUGGCGAAGGCGACUUUCUGGUCUGUAACUGACGUUGAGAUGCGAAAGCUAGGGGAG
RNAcentral lists this ribosomal RNA (245 nucleotides) under uncultured bacterium. Its description in RNAcentral is "partial 16S ribosomal RNA". It matches the Rfam family "Bacterial small subunit ribosomal RNA", at positions 524 to 768 of the family's 1533-position model. The record is from RNAcentral.